GAUCAUUUCAGCCAUGGUCUCUUUUUGGGUGUGCUAAUGGCAUCUUCAGAAAGAAAAGAUGCUGAGAUUCCAUAACUCUGUCAAUCCACGGGUCCUUUGAAUUCUCUAGAGCCCAUCACAUGUGCAGUUUUAACCACCUUAAAAAGUUUUAUGGUAGAGGACUUCCUUCCAGCAUUUUCUCGUCCCAAGAUUCUUAAAAAAAGUUGGUGCAACCUUCUUAGAAUGAGAUCACCAUAAACAUGAGCAACCACCACUAGAAUGUCCAGAUUUUAAAGCUGAAAAAUAAAAAGCUGAAGUGAAAUUUCCAGUUAAAUUAUUUUAAGGAAUGUAGCAGCAAUAAGUUAGGCAUAAAAGAUUUCCACCAGUCUAGGUUCUGCAACUUCUGUAAUUGAGUCAGCUUGAUCUAAUGCUCUCCAACAUCCCAAGACAAUGUAGCUUGCUCUAAAAACAAUUGCCUUGCAAUCAAUGUUACUGAACUCGCAUCGGACAGACGGAUUGACCCGGAGAAUCGGUCAUAAAAUCCGUCCGAUUCUGUACUUGAACCGGAAAUGAAGAGAUCCGGAUUGACAGGCCGACCCGACACUAAGUCUGCCCGCUUUCAAGCAGCACAGAUCCGCUAGAACCGGGUUGGUUCAAUUAUGCCCCCAAAAACGACUCCACUUUUUGCGUUUCUCGUUGAUGCGCCGCGUUUUCGUAAUUCUUCUAACCUUUUUCUUCGGUUUUUCUGAUGGCGGCGAACACUUGUGAGUUUCUCCACAAUUCCCAAAUCCCUAAAGACUCAAGCCCAAAUUUCCUAGCCUUCGAAUUUUUUGCCGCUAUUGUUAUCCGUCGAAGCUCAUGUUCUUUGUUCAUCCAUCCUCACCAGUUGAAGCUUCAUUGUGGAAGCCAUAACUAGAAGUAGUCUUCAUCUCUGCUAGUGUGCCCUGCUUUUUCAAAGCUUGUGUUUAUCAAAUAAAAUCAUGUUAAUAAUAGCUCCAAGACUGCAGUAGGCUGUUGACGUGUUUGUAAUUUUAUGUGCGUAAAUUGCAAUAUGCUUUUGACAUGUAUAGUAUAUUAUAUGAGAAUGAUUGACAUGUGUCCAACAUUUACCAAUUACUUGUAACCCAACCAUCUACGUACCCUCCACUCACUCACAGGGAACCCUUUCAUUUUCUUACCAGUGAUUGGAUUCUAUUUUCUUGACCGAGUUUAAUAACACUGCUUGAAAAAUUGUAUUCUUUUCUGCUUACACCAAACAGGGUGUUAGUCUAAAC
RNAcentral lists this unclassified non-coding RNA (1253 nucleotides) under Hevea brasiliensis (rubber tree). The record is from RNAcentral. Lineage: Eukaryota; Viridiplantae; Streptophyta; Magnoliopsida; Malpighiales; Euphorbiaceae.